UAAAAAAAUGAAAAGUUGAAUAUCUCACAUAACGUUUCACAUCUCCACAAAAUUAACAUAAUUUAUACUUGCCUGUAAUCAUGCAAUCUAAUCCUGCUAGAAUCCGUGACUCUGAUGACCGCUACAAGGAUAUUUUAAGCGAAGCUCGCAAAAACGUUCAAAAAAAUGUAGCAAUAUUUGUCCUUAUGAAUGCAGCGAUACGUAUCACUGCGUUGCUGGUCAGGAAAUUCAAUUUAAUUUAAAAAUUCAACAAAAAUCAGAUAAUGAGGACGAGUAUCUGCACGGUUUUUAGGAGUGUCAUAAAUUACUUCUAACAUUGAUUUCAAUAAAGCAUACUCGCCAAAUACUUUUAGUUAUGACAAAAUUAUUUGCAAUAUCGUAUGUCGUAUGGCGUACUCUAUUCUUUUAUUGAUUUAAUGAAGUUUUAAUAAAAUAAAAGUACGCAAACAGACAAA
Teleopsis dalmanni is the source of this 455-nucleotide long non-coding RNA. RefSeq lists it as uncharacterized. NCBI's taxonomy places the organism in Eukaryota, Metazoa, Arthropoda, Insecta, Diptera, Diopsidae. The record is from RefSeq and is a predicted model, not a curated record. The transcript is spliced from 3 exons.